GACGAACGCUGGCGGCGUGCUUAACACAUGCAAGUCGAACGGUAAGGCCCUUCGGGGUACACGAGUGGCGAACGGGUGAGUAACACGUGGGUGACCUGCCCUGCACUUCGGGAUAAGCCUGGGAAACUGGGUCUAAUACCGGAUAGGACCCUGGGAUGCAUGUCCUGGGGUGGAAAGCUUUUGCGGUGUGGGAUGGGCCCGCGGCCUAUCAGCUUGUUGGUGGGGUGAUGGCCUACCAAGGCGACGACGGGUAGCCGGCCUGAGAGGGUGACCGGCCACACUGGGACUGAGAUACGGCCCAGACUCCUACGGGAGGCAGCAGUGGGGAAUAUUGCACAAUGGGCGCAAGCCUGAUGCAGCGACGCCGCGUGAGGGAUGACGGCCUUCGGGUUGUAAACCUCUCUCAGCACCGACGAAGCGCAAGUGACGGUAGGUGCAGAAGAAGGACCGGCCAACUACGUGCCAGCAGCCGCAGUAA
Molecule: ribosomal RNA, 478 nt
Filed under: uncultured bacterium
Lineage: Bacteria
Description: partial 16S ribosomal RNA
Rfam family: Bacterial small subunit ribosomal RNA
Source: RNAcentral